RNAcentral lists this ribosomal RNA (624 nucleotides) under uncultured bacterium. RNAcentral describes it as "bacterial SSU rRNA". It matches the Rfam family "Bacterial small subunit ribosomal RNA", at positions 138 to 760 of the family's 1533-position model. The record is from RNAcentral.
CAGGGAUAGCCUUUCGAAAGAAAGAUUAAUACCUGAUGGUAUGAUGAGAUUGCAUGAUAGCAUCAUUAAAGAUUUAUCGGUGUACGAUGGGGAUGCGUUCCAUUAGGUAGUAGGCGGGGUAACGGCCCACCUAGCCAACGAUGGAUAGGGGUUCUGAGAGGAAGGUCCCCCACAUUGGAACUGAGACACGGUCCAAACUCCUACGGGAGGCAGCAGUGAGGAAUAUUGGUCAAUGGACGAGAGUCUGAACCAGCCAAGUAGCGUGAAGGAUGAAGGUCCUACGGAUUGUAAACUUCUUUUAUAAGGGAAUAAACCCUCCCACGUGUGGGAGCUUGUAUGUACCUUAUGAAUAAGCAUCGGCUAACUCCGUGCCAGCAGCCGCGGUAAUACGGAGGAUGCGAGCGUUAUCCGGAUUUAUUGGGUUUAAAGGGAGCGCAGACGGGUCGUUAAGUCAGCUGUGAAAGUUUGGGGCUCAACCUUAAAAUUGCAGUUGAUACUGGCGUCCUUGAGUGCGGUUGAGGUGUGCGGAAUUCGUGGUGUAGCGGUGAAAUGCUUAGAUAUCACGAAGAACUCCGAUUGCGAAGGCAGCACACUAAUCCGUAACUGACGUUCAUGCUCGAAAGU